GGUAAUGUGGUUCAGUGGUAGAGUGCUUGCCUAGCAUGCACGAAGUUCUGGGUUUGAUUCCUCAUUACCA
RNAcentral lists this transfer RNA (70 nucleotides) under Dipodomys ordii (Ord's kangaroo rat). It matches the Rfam family "tRNA". Rfam says of the family: Transfer RNA (tRNA) molecules are approximately 80 nucleotides in length. Their secondary structure includes four short double-helical elements and three loops (D, anti-codon, and T loops). Further hydrogen bonds mediate the characteristic L-shaped molecular structure. tRNAs have two regions of fundamental functional importance: the anti-codon, which is responsible for specific mRNA codon recognition, and the 3' end, to which the tRNAs corresponding amino acid is attached (by aminoacyl-tRNA synthetases). tRNAs cope with the degeneracy of the genetic code in two manners: having more than one tRNA (with a specific anti-codon) for a particular amino acid; and 'wobble' base-pairing, i.e. permitting non-standard base-pairing at the 3rd anti-codon position. Lineage: Eukaryota; Metazoa; Chordata; Mammalia; Rodentia; Heteromyidae. The record is from Rfam by way of RNAcentral.